Molecule: long non-coding RNA, 1630 nt
Filed under: Homo sapiens (human)
Lineage: Eukaryota; Metazoa; Chordata; Mammalia; Primates; Hominidae
Description: HSALNT0341239
Source: RNAcentral
GCCUUGGUGCUUCCCACAGAGGGAACUGUGACAUAUUACUGGGCCACACCACCAGCUUAUGUGACUCUCUUGCCAGUGUUCUGCCCAUGUGGGCCAUUGUGACAUUUGGCUGGGUCCAACACUUAGCACCUGAGUGAUUUGACUCUCCUGCCUUGGCCCAGUCCACAGAUAGCAUUAUGACAUGUUGCUGAACCCGGCACCUAGGAGAUGUGACUUUAUUUUCCUGCCUUGGUACUGCCCACAGUUGUGUCCACAGGAGCGAUUUUGAUGUAUUGCUGGGCCGAACACAAAGGUGAUGUGGGUUUGUGACUCUCAGGCCAAGAUUCAGCAAACCUGUGAGGCUGUGACUCUAUGAAGAAUAUACAGUGGACUUGAGGGACUGUGGCUCCCAAGCAUGGAUCCAGUCACCUGUUGAAAUUGUGACUCAUGUACUUGGACCUUACAUACAGGAGGUAUCGACUCUAAUACCUAGGACCGGGACAUGUUCUACCAACAGGGAAGAUUGUGACAUAUCACUGGGCCUAACACCAAGGUGUAGUUACACUUUUGCCUUGGCCCAGAACUCUGAAGUUCACUGUGACGUACUGCUGGGCCCAGCACCAAGGAGAGGCAAAUCCCAGCACUUUGGGAGACCAAGGCGGGACAUAACUCUGGGCCCAGCACCUAGGUGAUGUGACUCCCUUUUCUGCCUGGAUGGUGCUCACAGAAGAGAAAGUGACUUAUUUCUGGGCCCAGCAGAGAGGUGAUGUGAUUCUUCUGCCUGGUCCCUGCCCACAAAACUCAUUGUGACUUAACUCUGGGCCCAUCACCUAAAUGACGUGACUCUCCUCUUCUUCCUGUGUCCUGUACAUGUUCUACCAACAGGGAACAUUGUAACAUAUCUCUGGGUCCAUCACCUGGAUAAUGUGACUCUUCUUGGGACCUAUUCACAGUGAAAAUUGUGACACAUCUCUUGGGUUCUGCCCACAAGGGAGAUUUUGACUUAUUGCUGUCCUCAAAAUGAAGGUGAUGUGACACUUUUGCCUUGGACCCACCCUUGAAGACAUUGUGACAUAUUUCUUAGCUCAGCAUCAAAACGAUGUGUCUUCUUAGUAGACUCUGCCAACAUGGGGCAUUGUGACAUAUCUUUGGGCCCAUCAGCUAUUGAUGUAACUCUCUUCUCUUACAUGGACUUUGCUCACAGAAGAGACUAUGAAAUAUCUCUGGGCCCAGCAAAUAGGUGAUGUGACUCUUCUCUACUGCUUGGGCUCUGCUCAUGAGAAAAUUGUGAUGGAUUGCUGAACCCAGCACCUAGGUAAUGUAACUCUCUUCUCUUGCCUGGGCCCGGCAUAAAUUGUGUAUUGUGACAUGGGGCUCGAUCACAAACCUAGGUAAUGCUACUCUCUUGCAUUGGCUCUGCCCACCAGGGUAUUAUGACACAACUUUUCAUUCAUCGCCUAGGCGAUGUGACCCCCCGCUUCUGCUUGAAUCUUGCCAAAAGAGGAAAUGAUAACAUAUCACUAUACUCAGCACCUAGGUGCCAUGACUUGCCUUUUUCCCCAGGCAAUGCAUAUAUUGGGAAUUAUGACAUAUCACUGGACCCAACAUGUAGGGAAUAAAAGACUCCUGCCUGUGUUCUGCUGACCUAGAA